RNAcentral lists this ribosomal RNA (200 nucleotides) under uncultured bacterium. Its description in RNAcentral is "partial 16S ribosomal RNA". It matches the Rfam family "Bacterial small subunit ribosomal RNA", at positions 8 to 205 of the family's 1533-position model. The record is from RNAcentral.
AGAGUUUGAUCCUGGCUCAGAACGAACGCUGGCGGCGCGCCUAACACAUGCAAGUCGAACGCGAAAGAGGGGCAACUCUCGAGUAAAGUGGCGCACGGGUGAGUAACGCGUAGGUGAUCUACCUCUGCGACCGGGAUAACUAGCCGAAAGGUUGGCUAAUACUGGAUAGAGCGCAUGAAACAUAAAGUUUUGUGCGGGAA